RNAcentral lists this ribosomal RNA (253 nucleotides) under uncultured bacterium. RNAcentral describes it as "partial 16S ribosomal RNA". It matches the Rfam family "Bacterial small subunit ribosomal RNA", at positions 524 to 776 of the family's 1533-position model. The record is from RNAcentral.
UACGUAGGGUGCGAGCGUUAAUCGGAAUUACUGGGCGUAAAGCGUGCGCAGGCGGCGCGUUAAGACAGGUGUGAAAGCCCCGAGCUUAACUUGGGAAUUGCGCUUGUGACUGGCGUGCUGGAGUGUGGCAGAGGGAGGUGGAAUUCCACGUGUAGCAGUGAAAUGCGUAGAGAUGUGGAGGAACACCGAUGGCGAAGGCAGCCCCCUGGGUCAAUACUGACGCUCAUGCACGAAAGCGUGGGGAGCAAACAGG